AGUUCAAUUUCAGAUGUUUGGUGUGAUUAUUAGACUGCAGUUUUGGUUUGUUUUGAAACUUACUUGGUUUGUUUUGAAACUUACUUUGCUGUCAAUUAUGUUCAAUAUUAGUGUGAAUUUUUCCUGUUAGGACAAUUUAGUGUUUUAUUUCAUUAUUGUUAAGUUGUGCAUGCAAUCUGAAAUCUGAACAAAGUUUGAUAGUCCAAUAACAUGGUGAGUCUAUAGGCUUUCACAUUAGGUUAGACAUCAUAAUAAGGAUAAGUAGUAAUUUAGAUAAAAGUUUACAGCCGCACGAAUCACAUAUUCCCUUUAUUCUUCAGUUUCUGGUAUGUAUUUUCAUAUGAUGAUUUGGUAUAACUGAAACUUAUUAUAGUUCAUGUGUAACUAAACAUGAUAUAAGUUUUUCUAUUUAAAUUAGUUGUUGUUCUUUACAUGCCGUUGUCAACACCCUGAAUUUUACUCAUCAGGCUGCAUUCAGCCACUAAAUUUGUUCAAUCUAAUUUUA
RNAcentral lists this long non-coding RNA (505 nucleotides) under Trifolium pratense (red clover). RNAcentral describes it as "long non-coding RNA (TPRA_LNC011401)". The record is from RNAcentral. Lineage: Eukaryota; Viridiplantae; Streptophyta; Magnoliopsida; Fabales; Fabaceae.